This is a long non-coding RNA of Leptinotarsa decemlineata (Colorado potato beetle), 362 nucleotides long. NCBI's taxonomy places the organism in Eukaryota, Metazoa, Arthropoda, Insecta, Coleoptera, Chrysomelidae. The record is from RefSeq and is a predicted model, not a curated record.
CAUCAUUUUUUCCUAACGCGCCAACAGAAGUAUAACUUCAAAAACAUAUUUCUCUCACAUAUCCACGUACAAAUUCAACAAGCAUAUAACUGAUCUGUAUGCAAAAAUGAAAGUUCUAAAAUAAUAUUCAAUGAGGCCUUAUGGAAUAUGACAUGACACAUUUCAGAAAGCAACCUCAAUGGAAGCGGUUCAGCGACGGCGUAACAUCACCAGAUAUACGAAGUGCGGAGCCGGCUAGAAAACGUCAAUACUUUCAGAUAAGUAUUUUUGUAUAACGGUGUAAAAGUCCAACUAUUUUUCAGUUGUUUUUUCAUCUGUCUAUGUUAUGGAAGUAUAAAGGAUAAAACAGGCUCAAAAAAGUA